RNAcentral lists this ribosomal RNA (460 nucleotides) under uncultured bacterium. Its description in RNAcentral is "partial 16S ribosomal RNA". It matches the Rfam family "Bacterial small subunit ribosomal RNA", at positions 338 to 795 of the family's 1533-position model. The record is from RNAcentral.
CCUACGGGAGGCAGCAGUGAGGAAUAUUGGUCAAUGGGCUUACGCCUGAACCAGCCAAGUCGCGUGAGGGAAGACUGCCCUAUGGGUUGUAAACCUCUUUUGUCAGGGAGCAACGCCGGCUACGUGUAGCCGGACUGAGAGUACCUGAAGAAAAAGCAUCGGCUAACUCCGUGCCAGCAGCCGCGGUAAUACGGAGGAUGCGAGCGUUAUCCGGAGUUAUUGGGUUUAAGGGGUGCGUAGGCGGAAUGCCAAGUCAGCGGUAAAAUCGCGGGGCCCAACCUCGCUCCGCCGUUGAAACUGGCGUUCUUGAGUGGGCGAGAGGUAUGCGGAAUGCGUGGUGUAGCGGUGAAAUGCAUAGAUAUCACGCAGAACUCCGAUUGCGAAGGCAGCAUACCGGCGCCCAACUGACGCUGAAGCACGAAAGCGUGGGUAUCGAACAGGAUUAGAUACCCGAGUAGUC